Molecule: ribosomal RNA, 557 nt
Filed under: uncultured Gammaproteobacteria bacterium
Lineage: Bacteria; Pseudomonadati; Pseudomonadota; Gammaproteobacteria
Description: bacterial SSU rRNA
Rfam family: Bacterial small subunit ribosomal RNA
Source: RNAcentral
UAGUCGAGCGGUAACAGGACUAGNUUGCUAGGNGCUGACGAGCGGCGGACGGGUGCGUAACACGUAGGAAUCUGCCCGGUAGUGGGGGAUAGCCCGGAGAAAUCCGGAUUAAUACCGCAUACGCCUUACGAGGGAAAGGAGGGGACUCUUCGGAGCCUUUCGCUAUCGGAUGAGCCUGCGUCGGAUUAGCUAGUUGGUGGGGUAAAGGCCUACCAAGGCGACGAUCCGUAGCUGGUCUGAGAGGAUGAUCAGCCACACUGGGACUGAGACACGGCCCAGACUCCUACGGGAGGCAGCAGUGGGGAAUAUUGCACAAUGGGGGAAACCCUGAUGCAGCCAUGCCGCGUGUGUGAAGAAGGCUCUAGGGUUGUAAAGCACUUUCAGCGAGGAGGAAAGGUUGCUGGUUAAUAUCCAGCGGCUGUGACGUUACUUGCAGAAGAAGCACCGGCUAACUCCGUGCCAGCAGCCGCGGUAAUACGGAGGGUGCGAGCGUUAAUCGGAAUUACUGGGCGUAAAGCGUGCGUAGGCGGCCAUGUAAGUUGGAUGUGAAAGCCCCG